This 253-nucleotide ribosomal RNA is filed under the name uncultured bacterium. RNAcentral's name for it is "partial 16S ribosomal RNA". It matches the Rfam family "Bacterial small subunit ribosomal RNA", at positions 524 to 776 of the family's 1533-position model. The record is from RNAcentral.
UACGGGGGGGGCAAGCGUUGUUCGGAAUUACUGGGCGUAAAGGGCUCGUAGGCGGCCAACUAAGUCAGACGUGAAAUCCCUCAGCUUAACUGGGGAACUGCGUCUGAUACUGGAUGGCUUGGAUUUGGGAGAGGGAUGCGGAAUUCCAGGUGUAGCGGUGAAAUGCGUAGAUAUCGGGAGGAACACCUAUGGCGAAGGCAGCUCGCUGGGACGGUACUGACGCUGAGACGCGAAAGCGUGGGGAGCAAACAGG